AACGAACGCUGGCGGCAGGCUUAACACAUGCAAGUCGAGCGCCCCGCAAGGGGAGCGGCAGACGGGUGAGUAACGCGUGGGAACGUACCUUUUGGUUCGGGACAACUCCGGGAAACUGGAGCUAAUACCGGAUAAGCCCUAACGGGGAAAGAUUUAUCGCCGAAAGAUCGGCCCGCGUCUGAUUAGCUAGUUGGUGAGGUAACGGCUCACCAAGGCGACGAUCAGUAGCUGGUCUGAGAGGAUGAUCAGCCACACUGGGACUGAGACACGGCCCAGACUCCUACGGGAGGCAGCAGUGGGGAAUAUUGGACAAUGGGCGCAAGCCUGAUCCAGCCAUGCCGCGUGAGUGAUGAAGGCCUUAGGGUUGUAAAGCUCUUUUGUCCGGGAAGAUAAUGACUGUACCGGAAGAAUAAGCCCCGGCUAACUUCGUG
This 431-nucleotide ribosomal RNA is filed under the name uncultured bacterium. RNAcentral describes it as "partial 16S ribosomal RNA". It matches the Rfam family "Bacterial small subunit ribosomal RNA", at positions 29 to 507 of the family's 1533-position model. The record is from RNAcentral.